CUUUAAAGGGACACUAUAGUCACCUGAACAACUUUAGCUUAAUGAAGCAGUUUUGGUGUAUAGAACAUGCCCCUGCAGCCUCGCUGCUCAAUCCUCUGCCAUUUAGGAGUUAAAUCCCUUUGUUUAUGAACCCUAGUCACACCUCCCUGCAUGUGACUUGCACAGCCUUCCAUUAACACUUCCUGUAAAGAGAGCCCUAUUUAG
Pelobates cultripes (western spadefoot toad) is the source of this 204-nucleotide non-coding RNA. The record is from the annotation of a GenBank genome assembly. Lineage: Eukaryota; Metazoa; Chordata; Amphibia; Anura; Pelobatidae.